RNAcentral lists this ribosomal RNA (385 nucleotides) under uncultured bacterium. Its description in RNAcentral is "bacterial SSU rRNA". It matches the Rfam family "Bacterial small subunit ribosomal RNA", at positions 29 to 416 of the family's 1533-position model. The record is from RNAcentral.
AUUGAACGCUGGCGGCAUGCCUUACACAUGCAAGUCGAACGGCAGCACGGGAGCAAUCCUGGUGGCGAGUGGCGAACGGGUGAGUAAUACAUCGGAACGUGUCCAGUUGUGGGGGAUAGCCCGGCGAAAGCCGGAUUAAUACCGCAUACGACCUACGGGUGAAAGCGGGGGAUCGCAAGACCUCGCGCUAUUGGGGCGGCCGAUGUCAGAUUAGCUUGUUGGUGGGGAAAAGCCUACCAAGGCGACGAUCUGUAGCUGGUCUGAGAGGACGACCAGCCACACUGGGACUGAGAAACGGCCCAGACUCCUACGGGAGGCAGCAGUGGGGAAUUUUGGACAAUGGGCGCAAGCCUGAUCCAGCCAUGCCGCGUGCGGGAAGAAGGCC